GAUGAACGCUAGCGGCAGGCCUAACACAUGCAAGUCGAGGGGCAGCACGUCUUCGGAUGGUGGCGACCGGCGCACGGGUGCGUAACGCGUAUGCAACCUACCUCUUACAGUGGGAUAGCCCAGAGAAAUUUGGAUUAAUACCGCAUAGUAUACAGAUUCAGCAUUGGGACUGUAUUAAACAUUUAUGGGUAAGAGAUGGGCAUGCGUUCUAUUAGUUAGUUGGAGUGGUAACGGCACCCCAAGACAGCGAUAGAUAGGGGCCCUGAGAGGGGGAUCCCCCACACUGGUACUGAGACACGGACCAGACUCCUACGGGAGGCAGCAGUGAGGAAUAUUGGACAAUGGGCGAGAGCCUGAUCCAGCCAUGCCGCGUGCAGGAAGACGGCCCU
This 389-nucleotide ribosomal RNA is filed under the name uncultured bacterium. RNAcentral's name for it is "bacterial SSU rRNA". It matches the Rfam family "Bacterial small subunit ribosomal RNA", at positions 28 to 418 of the family's 1533-position model. The record is from RNAcentral.